UUUGUUGUUGGACAUAAUAAGCAUUUAAAAAAUCUCAGCACUUUGGUUUUAAAGUAACUCGACCGUAAUAGAAAAACUCUUUUGUUCCUCUAUAAUCGAAUCGCUCUCUUACACGUCUUUAGACAAGAUGAGUAUCCAGUUGUUGCUGUUGCAUUUUUAUGAUUUUCUGCAAUGUGGUAGCGUCGCGACGCCAGGUAUAAAAAAAAAGUUUGUCAAAAUUUGUGACUACGGCACUGGCAUUUCGAAGCGCUACCGCAGUAUCGACCGCAUCGAAGCGCUACCGUUAGCUUUAUCUCGAGUUUUCGCCUUGCCCAUUUUUUCCGUUCAAUUAACUCGGAUUUACUCAGAAACAAAGGUUAUAAUGAAAAAAAUUCUAAUGAUACUUUUAUAAUGAUUUUUUUUUAGCUUUCGAUUGCGACCGGUCCGAAUGAAAUCGAUUCAGUCAAUCCCGAGAUUUCGACAGCGAGUCUAUGAAAAGUGUCACUUCGACGAUUCAGUUUUCAGUGUUCGUCUUCUUGUCGUUCAGUCUCGCGAGUGUCCGCCAAGGCGCAUUUACAACGCUCAAGACGGGCGACUGUCCGUCAAGAUGGGUUCUUAUGUGAGGUUAUGCAUUAUGUAGCUACCUAAUUGAGAGAGCGCUCGAGAGAGAGAGGAGAGAGAGAUAUGCAUUGUGUAGCUACCUAAUUGAGAGAGCGCUCGAGAGAGAGAGAGAGAGAGAGAGAGAGAGAGAGAGAGAGAGAGAGAGAGAGAAAGUAUAAUGCUUUUGUAUUUUCUUCCUUGAUUAGUCCGUCUCAUUAAACGAUUGCGAUACGACUCUUUUACUGCGACCCCAUUGUAGAUGCCGCUUUAUGUUUCUAAAAAUAUUUAUAAAAUGUUGAUAUAUAUUUCAUAAACAUUAUUAGAAAUAAAAGUAUAUUUUUACAAGUUAUUGUAGUGUGCGCGCGACAUGCGAUCGCCGCGAUCUCAUCUUUUCGAUCGUCUGUGUGUGUGUAUGUGUGUGUUGUGUGUGUGUGUGUGUGUGUGUGUGUGUAUGUGUGUGUGUGCGCGCCCACUGUCACCAUGUGCCUCCCGUGUGCCGGCUUUUUUGUUCCAACUAUGUAAUGUUUAUCAAGAAUAAUGUUCCUAAUAAGUUUGAAAUAAAAGUUGGCCGAAACAAUAUUUUGGAAGAUUCGUACCACAUAUUAUAAGCUCGAAUCCGUUAAGAGUUGAUAUUCUAAAGACGAAAUUAUGGGUAGAAUUUAAAGGAGAGAUAGGCUUAGAUUACGGUGGCCUUGCAAGAGAAUGGUUCUUUUUAUUGUCUAAAGAAAUGUUUAAUCCAUACUAUGGACUUUUUGAGUAUUCUGCAACCCAUAAUUAUACACUGCAAAUUAAUCCUUGUUCUGGUAUAUGUAAUGAGGAGCAUUUAAAUUAUUUUAAAUUUAUUGGACGUAUAGCAGGAAUGGCUGUUUAUCAUGGUAAACUUCUGCGAUGCUUUCCUUAUUCGACCAUUUUAUAAAAUAAUGUUGGCUAAACCAAUUGAUCUGAAAGAUAUGGAGAGUGUUGAUUCUGAAUAUUACAACUCUCUUCUAUGAAUUAAUGAAAACGAUUCCAGUGAAUUAGAACUCACUUUAAGCCUUGACGAAGAAAGCUUUGGUCAUACUUCCCAAAGAGACUUAAAGCCGAAUAGUGCUAAUAUUCCUUUGACCGAUGAAAAUAAGGACGAGUAUAUAAGUUUAGUUAUUUGGCUGCUAUAACAAUGUGAUAUUACGAUAUUAAUUUAUUAAUUGAGUCUUUUCUUGGUUAAUAAGAUUAUAAUGUUGUUAUGAAAUGCAAUUUAUGUAUAUGGCUGUAUAUGGUAAAAUUUUGACAAAUUGUUUUCAAAUGACAUUGUAAUCAUGUAGAAAUGAGAACAAUCAAUGUCAUUUUGACUUAAACAUUCUCUGCAUAUAGAUAUACCUUCUUUUUUCCACAUUCAAAUCAUGAGAUGUUAUUAUAAUGUUAUUUUGUUGUCAAUAAAUUCAAUUCUUUAAAUUUGCACUCACAUAAAACCAAAUUUUGGCAAAAAAUUACUGUCUCGAUACAUUCUAUAUAAUUAAAAGUUUCUCUUAUUUUAUAUAUCGCAUAUUGA
Solenopsis invicta (red fire ant) is the source of this 2107-nucleotide RNA transcript. It is a transcript of the gene named E3 ubiquitin-protein ligase NEDD4-like, with no coding region annotated. The record is from RefSeq and is a predicted model, not a curated record. The transcript has 4 exons. NCBI's taxonomy places the organism in Eukaryota, Metazoa, Arthropoda, Insecta, Hymenoptera, Formicidae.